RNAcentral lists this ribosomal RNA (368 nucleotides) under uncultured organism. Its description in RNAcentral is "bacterial SSU rRNA". It matches the Rfam family "Bacterial small subunit ribosomal RNA", at positions 526 to 896 of the family's 1533-position model. The record is from RNAcentral.
CGAAGGAUCCAAGCGUUGUCCGGAUUUACUGGGUUUAAAGGGUGCGUAGGCGGACUUUUAAGUCAGUGGUGAAAGCCUGUAGCUUAACUAUAGAAUUGCCAUUGAAACUGAAAGUCUCGAGUGUGGUUGAGGUAACUGGAAUAUAUCAUGUAGCGGUGAAAUGCUUAGAUAUGAUAUAGAACACCAAUUGCGAAGGCAGGUUACUGAGCCACAACUGACGCUGAGGCACGAAAGCGUGGGGAUCAAACAGGAUUAGAUACCCUGGUAGUCCACGCCGUAAACGUUGAAUACUCGAUCUUAGCGAUACACAGUUAGGAUCCAAGCGAAAGCGUUAAGUAUUCCACCUGGGAAGUACGUUCGCAAGAAUG